This 461-nucleotide ribosomal RNA is filed under the name Variovorax sp. SA050. RNAcentral describes it as "bacterial SSU rRNA". It matches the Rfam family "Bacterial small subunit ribosomal RNA", at positions 141 to 597 of the family's 1533-position model. Lineage: Bacteria; Pseudomonadati; Pseudomonadota; Betaproteobacteria; Burkholderiales; Comamonadaceae. The record is from RNAcentral.
GGAUAACGCAGCGAAAGCUGUGCUAAUACCGCAUACGAUCUACGGAUGAAAGCAGGGGAUCGCAAGACCUUGCGCGAAUGGAGCGGCCGAUGGCAGAUUAGGUAGUUGGUGAGGUAAAGGCUCACCAAGCCUUCGAUCUGUAGCUGGUCUGAGAGGACGACCAGCCACACUGGGACUGAGACACGGCCCAGACUCCUACGGGAGGCAGCAGUGGGGAAUUUUGGACAAUGGGCGAAAGCCUGAUCCAGCCAUGCCGCGUGCAGGAUGAAGGCCUUCGGGUUGUAAACUGCUUUUGUACGGAACGAAACGGUCUUUUCUAAUACAGAAGGCUAAUGACGGUACCGUAAGAAUAAGCACCGGCUAACUACGUGCCAGCAGCCGCGGUAAUACGUAGGGUGCAAGCGUUAAUCGGAAUUACUGGGCGUAAAGCGUGCGCAGGCGGUUAUGUAAGACAGUUGUGA